CUGAUAAUUACUUUAUUAAAGAUUAAGAAAGUAAGAGACAUUUAAAAAUAACCCAUAAGUUUUUUAAUUUACACUUUGAUCCAAUGUAAAACCUAAUAUAACUAGAAACGAGGAAAAAACAGGCACAUUUCUCUCUCUUCUCAUUUAUUGGAGUUUUCUCUCUCUUCGCAAUUUUUGUUGUUCAUUGUUGUUGUUGCUUUAUUCAUCAUCUUCUUCAUUAUCAUCAUCUUGUUCUUCAUUAUCAUCUCUUUUUGUUCAUCAUCAUCUCUUGUUGUUGAACAUUGUUGUUACCGCUACUGUUGCUACUUGAUCAAAUUUUUUUAGGUCAAAUUUUAUUCGUAUAUCACUUAAACAUUACUUAUUUGGUGAUUUUAGUAAGUAAAAUUAUAAUUUUUAGUUGAAUUUCUCAUCUAGGUGUAUUUUCUACUGAUGUUUUUUCAACAAUGAAUAAAACAUGUAACGUGAAUCCAAUAGAUGAGUAAUCUAUUGCACAGAUGAGUAAUCUGUUGCAACAUAUGACUAAUCUGUUGCAACAUAUGACUAAUCUGUUGCAACAGAUUAGUCAUAUGUUGCAACAGAUUACUCACCUGUUGCAACAAAUGACUCGUAUGUUGGAUUCAUGUUGCAGGUUCUAUCCAUUGUAGCAGUAACAGAUAUACCAAAUAAAAAAUUCAACAAAAAUCAUAAUUAUUCUUACAAAAUCACCUAUGCAGUAAUAUUCAAGUGAUAUAUGAAUAAAAUUUGACCUUAAAAAAUUUCAAAAAUUUUAUCAGGGGGCACAACGAAUAAGUGAAACACAUGAAAAAUUUCAUGAAACAGGUAAAGAAAACAAAAAUAGCAUAUCAUACAUCAAAUGCAAAAGAAUCAAGAGAACAAACAUUUGAGUUCUCCUAAAAACGUUUAAGUUCCCUAGUAUUUUAAUUGUUUUCUAAUGGAUGACCCAUCUGUUUAAUAAUUUCCAACAGAUGAAUUGUCUCUUGCGACAUGUUAGUUAUCUGUUGAUUCAAAUUAAGCAAUUAUUAGUAAUAACUAAAUUGAUUUACUUAAAAUUAAAGACAAGUCUUUAAGACAAUGGGACAAAUAUUUGAGUUCUCCUAAAAAUAUUUGAGUUCCCUAGUAUUUUAAUUAUUUUUCAACAGAUGGCCUAUUUGUUGCAACAAGUUAGUCAUAUAUUGCAACAAACACUUAUAACAGGUUAGUCAUUUGUUGAUUUAAAUUAAUUAAUUUUUAAUAAUAAUUAAAUUGAUUUAAUUAAAAUUGAAGACAAGACAUUAGAAAAGGUAAAAACGUUUGAGUUCUCCUAAUAAACGUUUAAACUUUAGUAUUUUAAAUUAUUUUUCAACACAUAUUUUGUCUAUUUAAUAAUUUCCAAUAGAUGAGUCAUAUGUUGCAACAACUUAGUCAUCUGUUGUAACAAUGUCUAUAUCUGUUUGAUAAUUUUCAAUAGAUGAAUUAGUUGUUGCAACAAGUGAGUCAUCUAUUGCAACAGAUGUUUAUAUCUAUUUGGUUAUUUUCAACAUAUGUUUUUAUUUGUUUGGUCAUUUUCAACAGAUUACUCAUCUGUUGUAACAUGUUAGUCAUCUAUUGAUUCAAAUUAAGACAUUAUUAGUAAUAACUAAAUUGAUUACUGAAAUAAAAUAUGAAUUAAUAAGUUCAAUUACAGUUUCAAGUAAUCUCAUAAUAAUUACACGUUCAACUAAGUAUGUUCGUCCUAAGUAGAGUGAUCAAUUGACCAAUUUUAUUUGAAAUAAUUCAAACUAAGUCAUCAUUAGAAAUAACUUUAUUGAUUUAACUAAAUUAAAGAUAAAUUAAUAAGUUCAAUUACAAUUUCAAUUAAUCUCAUAGUAAUUACAUGAUCAAUUAAGUGUGUUCGUCCUGAGUAGAGUGAUUAAUUGACAAAUUUUAUUUGAAAUGAUUCAAACCAAGCCAUAAUUAGAAAUAACUAUAUUGAUUUAACUAAAAUUAAAGAUGAAUUAGUAAUCUUUUGCAACAUGUUAGUCAUUUAUUGAUUCAUAUUAAGCCAUUAUAUUAGUAAUAAUUAAAUUGAUUUAACUAGAUUUACACAUGAAUUAAUAAGUUCAAUUACAGAUUUAAUUAAUCUCAUGGUAAUUACGUGAUCAACUAAGUGUGUUCGUCCUGAGUAAAGUGAUCAAUUGUCCAAUUUUAUUUGAAAUGAUUCAAACCCCAUAAUUAGAAAUAACUAUAUCGAUUUAACUAAAAUUAAAAAUGAAUUAGUAAGUUCACUUACAAUUUUAAUUAAUUUUAUACUAAUUACAUGAUCAACUAAGUGUUUAGUCUUAAGUAGAAUGAUCAAUUGAUCAAUUUUCAAUUGCUCAAUUUUAGUUGAAAUAAUUAAAAUUAAGAAAUUAUUAGUAAUAAUUAAAUUAAUUUAACUAAAAUUAAAGAUGAAUUGAUAAUUUUAAUUAUAAUUUCAAUUUAUUUCAUUAUAAUUACAUGAUAUCUAAGUAUAUUCGUCUGGAGUAAAGUGUUAAUUGACCAAUUUUAUUUGAAAUAAUUCAAAUUAAGACAUUAUUAGUAAUAACUACAUUGAUUUAACUAAAAUUAAAGAUGAAUUGAUAAAUUCAAUUAUGAUUUCAAUUAUUCUCAUAUUAAUUACAUGAUCAUCUUAGUGUGUUCGUUCUGAGUAGAGUGAUCAAUUGACUAAUUUUAUUUGAAAUGAUUCAAAUUAAGCCAUUAUUAGUAAUAGCUAAAUUGAUUGAAUAAUUACAAUUUCAAUUAAUCUCAUAGUAAUUACAUAAUCAUUUAAGUGUAUAACCUAUUGCAAUAGAUUUAACCUGUUACAACAGAUGCGUCAUCUGUUGAAAAUUAUCAAAUAUAUAUAUACACAUAUAUUGCAAUAGAUUAGUCAUCUGUUGUAACAAAUGUCUUUAUAUGUUGGUCAUUUUCAAUAGAUGACCAAUCUGUUGCAACAUAUGACUUUAUCUGUUUGUCAUUUCCAACAAAUUACUCAUUUGUUGCAAUAGAGGACUAAUCUGUUGCAACAGAUGUCUUUAUCUAUUUGGUCAUUUUCAACAGAUUACUCAUCUUUUGCAAUAUGCUAGUCAUCUAUUGAUUCAUAUUAAGUCAUUAUAUUAGUAAUAACUAAAUUGAUUUAACUAGAAUUAAACAUGAAUUAAUAAGUUCAAUUAUAGUUUCAAUUAAUCUCAUGGUAAUUACAUGAUCAAUUAAGUGUGUUCGUCCUGAGUAGAGUGAUCAAUUGACCAAUUUUAUCUAAAAUAAUUCAAACCAGCCAUAAUUAGAAAUAACUAUAUUGAUUUAAAUAAAAUUAAAGAUGAAUUAGUAAGUUCACUUACAAUUUCAAAUAUUUUAUAGUAAUUACAUGAUCAACUAAGUGUUUAGUCUUAAAUAGAAUAAUCAAUUGACCAAUUUUAUUUGAAAUAAUUAAAAUUAAGCAAUUAUUAGUAAUAACCAAAUUGAUUUAAUUAAAAUUAAAGAUGAAUUAAUAAUUUUAAUUACGAUUUCAAUUAAUCUCAUAGUAAUUACAUGAUCAUCUAAGUAUAUUCGUCUUGAGUAAAGUGUUAAUUGACCAAGUUUAUUUGAAAUGAUUCAAAUUAAGACAUUAUUAGUAAUAAGCUACAUUGAUUUAACUAAAAUUAAAGACGAAUUGAUAAGUUCAAUGAUGAUUUUAAUUAUUCUCAUAUUAAUUACACGAUCAUUUAAGUGUAUAACCUAUUGCAACAGAUUUAACCUGUUGCAACAUAUGAGUCAUCUGUUGAAAAUUAUCAAAUAGAUAUAAACAUAUGUUGCAACAGAUUGGUAAUCUGUUGUAACAAAUGUCUUUAUUUUUUGGUCAUUUCCAACAGAUUACUAAUAUGUUGCAAUAAAUGACUAAUCUGUUGCGACAGAUGUGUUUAUCUUUUUAGUCAUUUUCAAUAUAUUACUAAUUUGUUACGACAGACGAUCAAUCUAUCUGUUGCAAUAGAUGUCUUUAUCUACUUGGUAAUUUCCAAUAGAUUACUCAUCUGUUGCAAUGGAUGGGUCAUCUGUUAUCAAUUUAUCUUUAAUUUUAUUGUAAUAGUAAAUCAUCUUUUGUUGUUAUUUAAUUUUAGUCUAUGACCUUACUCUCAACCAAAUACAUUCUUUCUUGUAAUUGAUUCUUUCCACUCCCAAAUGCUUAAAAAUAGAUAAAAUAGGGUACUAAACUCUAGAGCAGCUUUCGUCUGGCUUAAAAAUAGAUAAAAUAGGGUACUAAACUCUAGAGCAGCUUUCGUCUGGCCGGAUGAGUAUGUGCUUAAUGUGUUGUACAUUCUGCAGUUCUAGUUGUACAAGAUAUUGCAUUGUAGCGUUAGCUGUAGAGCGGCUUUCGUGUCUGGGCCAGAUGAGUGUUUGCUUCAUGUGUUGUACCUUCUAUUGUUGGAAGUUGUAGAUUAAUGACAAGUUUUGUCAGUUUUAAUUUCUGCAAGAUACAUCCGCAGUUGUAUUAACUUAUCUCAGGUGGAUGCGAUGUCUGUUUUGUUUAAAAGAAUUGAGUUUUUAUUUGUCUUGUGUAUAUAUUGUCUAAAUUGUGACUGUGUGGUUAUCUUCUGGUUGUGUCCAAGUGUUUAACUCUUUUGUAUCAUUUUAUAGAAUAGAGUUCAGUAAUUAUCUUGACAACUACAUGCUGUUGUUAACAUGCCAAUAUAAGAAAAUAAUCUUGCUUUGUGUAUUUGAAAUUCUGAAGCUUCCCUUCUUCUAAUGUUCAACCUAGUUUCUAAUGCUUCAUUUUUUUGUCUGUGUGAACUUGCCAAUCGUGUUCUACACUGAAGAAAUCCAUACUCUUUAGACAUUUUCCAGGCAGACCUAAUCAGCUUUUAAUAGUUUUUUGGACAAUUCUAAACAUUUCCCAUUUUGAGGUAAAAAUCUUGAUUUUGAGUAAGUUAAUGAGACUUCUGUUUCACUAUAUGAAAGAUCUUGAAAGGACCCAUCUUAAGUUAAAGAUUCUAAAACACAUUGUUACUAAGAAAUCAAUUUUUUCACAAAAGAAUCCAAAACCAGAUCAGAAUUUUGAAAGAUUCUGAAAAUUUUCCAUUUUUUUCCAUGCUGAGAGCUUAAGAUGGGAGCCGAAACGAAAUGGCUAUAUGCAUUUGUUUAUGUAGCCUUUGUAUCAUUUCUCGUAUUCUUGUCUUCCAGUUUGGGAUUUAGCUUAUCCUAUUAUACAUUUUCAUCACAGAGGAGGCAUGCCACCCCGUAAAUCAUGGGCUGGGCUAUCCCGCUGCUUUAGCAUACUACAUUUCAGGUGGAGGGGAAGAUAGUGAAAAGGUUGAGAUUUUUGUUAGCUUUAGGAAUAGGUUCUUGUUGCACAUUGGUGUUGAUGGCGAUAAAGAAGAUAGGUGGAAGCUUUGGAUGCUGGUGAAAUCUGUGCCAGUAAUUCAGGCUUUUAGGAAUGUGGAUGUGGUUGGAAAGCCUGAUCUAGUUACCUAUAUGGGUUCAACCAAUAUAGCAGCAAUGGUUAAGGCAGUAUUUAUUCUGUUGAAGGUGGAUGGGAUUGGUUUGUUAGUUUAAUUGCCUCUGGUUAUCCUUUAAUUACACAAGAUGGUAAAUUUUGCUUCAGCUGAACUGAUUAUUGAUUUGGAUAAGAUAGCUUCUGAUUGACUCAUUGAUAAGGUAGAAGCUCGUAUUUGCUGAGAUUCAUGGGUUUUGAAUUUUGGGAGUUAAAUCUGCACUUCUGCUUAAAGUUCAAAUUGUUUUGAUUGUUUUUACUAAGGUCUACUGGAAACCUUCUCUCUACCUUGUAGGGGUAAGGUCUAUAUACAUGUUCCUACCCUCAUUCUCUGACUAGAGAAAACUCUUGGCAGCCUUAUCGAGCAACAUGCUGUUGCAAAAGAUUUAAAGAGAUAGCUCUUUGCUCUUAAUUCUAGUUGUUUCUUUCUUCUUUCUAAAUGCGCCAUAUGAACCGUAUCUUUUGAUUCCUGGGUGCAAGUCCCACAAAUUUAGACAAAGGAGAACAGUUUCUAGGCCAUUUACAAAUGUAUUGCAUGCAUCUUGACUAGUAAUGGUAUAUCUGGAGCAAACUUUCAUCUGCCAAGAUCAGUAUGUGGCUCAUGUCUAUUGUAAAUUCUGUUGUGAUGAUUGUGCUUUUUGAUCUCUCAAAAGAUGUACUUGUUACCUUCUAACUUACAGAAAUAGCAAUUGACAGCCUACCUUGUCCUUCUAUUUCAUAGAACUCCCGCCCUAAUUGUUUAAAGCAUAUAUCUGCCUACCUUGUAACAAACAUGACUAUUCUUAAAUUUGAUUGUCCGUUCUUUUACAGGUGGCUAGUAAAGAAAAUAAAUGACAUCAAAAGGUAAUGUUAAUGACGUAAGAAAAAUAAGAAAGGAACUGAUAAUCUUCCUACAGGUCAAUAUACACUACCACCACCACCACCUGUUACCACAAUUCUUCAACCAGCUACUACAAAUAUUCCUCCCCCUCCUAGAUGCACUAUUUCACUACCAAAUGCAUUUUUCAUGCCUCCACCGUCUGACCAGUUGCACACCUCUUCAUCCCAAAAUAGUUUGCAUAGUAGCUCUUCAUUUGUGCCUUCGACAUCAUCCAUACCAAACCUUUCUGGAUUGAGAGUUGGAGGUCCUAACACACCAACAUUGCCAUCCAUAGAUAGUGCUACAAUGCCUAAUGCUACAACAUCUGCUUCUCAGAAUUUGUAAUUUAAAGAGGUAGUAGAAUAUGACAAUGUUGGGAGGCUACGAAUCGUCCCUUAUCGUUACGGGUAAGUAACACUUAAGUUUUCCUUAAUUUUUAAAAGCUAAGAUGAUGGUUUAAUAUAAUCUUAUUGCAGGUUCAUUCCAGCAUAUGCCGCCGGGCAUAUGGUUAUAGAAGCAAUUAAACUGGAAUAGUUGGUUAGAGAUUCCAUGGAAAAUUAGAAUUGUCAUGUGGAAACAAUUUAUGGUAUAAGUAGUUUUAUAAGCUAUGAAUCUCAUUGCCUAGAGAUAGUUUUUCCAUUGUAUCCAUCAACUCAUUUUUUGACUUUAUAUUAAAUUAUUUUGCAGACAAAGUGUUCAUGGAGUGAUUGUCAUGAUAAUGAAAUAGACCGCAUUUUUUGAUUGAAAGCAGCUCUACGGGUCAAAGAACACUUGUAUGAGGCCCGGAGGAAAUUGAUCAAACCUGGUUGGUUGAAUGAUGAAGUGUGGACUCAGUUCUUGAUAUUAUGGG
RNAcentral lists this long non-coding RNA (7149 nucleotides) under Capsicum annuum. RNAcentral describes it as "long non-coding RNA (CANN_LNC016296)". Lineage: Eukaryota; Viridiplantae; Streptophyta; Magnoliopsida; Solanales; Solanaceae. The record is from RNAcentral.